Molecule: small RNA, 453 nt
Filed under: Pan troglodytes (chimpanzee)
Lineage: Eukaryota; Metazoa; Chordata; Mammalia; Primates; Hominidae
Description: retained intron
Source: RNAcentral
GAAAGUGGCUGAAUGAGAAAUGUAGAUUGCAGAGGGCAACUGGUGUGUUUAUAUUCCUGACAUUAUUUGGGUUUUCCCCCCUCAGGCAGAAGCUGAGGAAGAUUGUCAUUCUGAUACUGUCAGAGCAGAUGAUGAUGAAGAAAAUGAAAGUCCUGCUGAAACAGAUCUGCAGGCACAACUCCAGAUGUUCCGAGCUCAGUGGAUGUUUGAACUUGCUCCAGGUGUAAGCUCUAGCAAUUUAGAAAAUCGACCUUGCAGAGCAGCAAGAGGCUCUCUCCAGAAAACAUCGGCAGAUACCAAAGGAAAACAAGAACAGGCAAAAGAAGAAAAGUUAAGUAUUAUAGAUAUUGUAACAAAUUACAUUUUUUUUUUGGCACAUGGAAAUUUUCACUGACACAGUAAGUAGGCAUUAUAACCAGACUUUCGGGACAUAAACACAUACCUUGUAAAAUA